GCCUUGGCUUUCAUCUGCAGAGCGUGUAGCUGCAAGUGCGGCGUGUUUACAAAUGCAGGCAUUGCAAGAUCCCUUGAACUGUGUCCUAGUACAAAAGAGGCUUUGAAACGAGAAACACGUUGUCAUGGCAUGUUCCAGGCCAGCAGCACCAGACUGAACCAGAUAAUUGCUGUUUCUGCUUCACCGUGGAAAAAGCAGCAGGCCUCCCAAGAGCCGCUUUCUAAGACGAUGCCCUCGGGAAAGCUGUCACCAGCCUCGCUGAGCAGCGGCUCCUCCGGGCAGCACAGCUGGUCCUGAUCCCUCCGCACGCCCAUUCCCAUCGGAGCAGUGGCUUUCUCCAGGAGGAGCAGAGUUUUGGGCUGCCCCUGCCAGGCGGGGUGACGGG
This is a long non-coding RNA of Lepidothrix coronata (blue-crowned manakin), 385 nucleotides long. RefSeq lists it as uncharacterized. The transcript has 3 exons. The record is from RefSeq and is a predicted model, not a curated record. Lineage: Eukaryota; Metazoa; Chordata; Aves; Passeriformes; Pipridae.